Lytechinus pictus (painted urchin) is the source of this 3427-nucleotide long non-coding RNA. RefSeq lists it as uncharacterized. The transcript has 2 exons. NCBI's taxonomy places the organism in Eukaryota, Metazoa, Echinodermata, Echinoidea, Temnopleuroida, Toxopneustidae. The record is from RefSeq and is a predicted model, not a curated record.
GGGGAGUUUGUGCGAGAAAAUCAAUUCAGUACCGUACACGGUACCAUCAAUUUUCCAUAAAAUACAUUUAAGUUAUCGGAACAAGGCAUUAUGACUGGAACAUGAAGGCAAGCAAUGCAGAGGAAGAAAAAUUAUCUUUAUGGUGAACUCUGCGGACAUCCCAAUACUUUUUCAGAUGCCCCCAGUUAAGUCAACAAUGGAACUUUCCAAGAAGAGGGAAGAGGACCUAUGGAACGAUAUCCGCCCAUUUUUAGAUGAGGAAAAGGUAGAUCCUCUCAGCAUGAUCUGACCAAUGCGGUGACCUGAUCCGGCGUCACAGCUCUUGUCAGCUUGAGAGUCGCAGACCGGUCAGAGACAAGUCGCAAGGAAAACCGUAAGGAUUUGACAUGUCAAAUCCUUAUGACUGAACGGCAGGCUCAAUCCAACUUCCAACCAAUCAGACAGCAGAGUUGCACGACGCGUAUAUGAUAUACAACAUCCAUACGCUGUACGUAGUAAGCGCUAUUUUCUCAGUUGCUAUGGCAAAAAGCGCAGCAUGCGUGAGUCAAAGACAACAUAGCAUGAAAGUCGGAUCGCAAGGUGUGCGGUGUCGAGGCUUAUGACUACCAUGCGAUUUAAGCUUCGACACUGCACACCUUGCGAUCCGACUACCAUGCUGUCUGCUACUCACGCAUGCAAUAUAAGGCCAGGGGGUGUUUCACAAAGAUUUAAGUAUGACUUAGAGUCGCACUUAAAUGCCUCAUUACGUGCGAUAUAAAAGGCAUGACCGCAUUGGUCAGGUCAUGAGUAGAGGCAGCGCACUACUGCCUAUUUGCGUUGGCAUUUAAGUGCUACCUAAGUCAUACUUAAAUCGUUGUAAAACACCACCCUGGUUACAUUGUAAAGCCAGGUUACACUAUAAGUUGUUUCAAUUUUAAGCCAAGUUACUAUUUAAUGUUGGGUUACAUUACAAGGCAAGACUACAUUAUCAGGCCAUGUUACACUUUUAGUCAGGUUACACUAUAAGGUCAGUGGUGUUUCACAAAGAUUUUAAUAUGACUCUUACAUGAUAUGCAACAUGAAUCUUUUUUUCAAUACCGUACGCAGUAGUGCGAGUCCUCUCAGCAUGAUCUGACCAAUGCAGUGAUGUCUUUUAUACUGCAUGCAAGUAGGCCCAGAUUACACUUAUAGAUCAGGAUACCUUCUAAAGCCUGGUUACGCUUUAAAGAAGGUAACUCUUUAAAGCAGGUUAAAUUAUUAGGAGAGGUAACACAAUAAGCACAUGAAUCACACUUAAAAGGUCUAUGGAAGCCACUUGACUUUUCAAUUGCAGGUUACAUUAUAAGGCAAGGUUACACAAUAAGCACAGGUAUCACACUAUCAGGCAACUCAGCCUAGAUUACACUAAAAGAUCAGGAUACAUUUUAAAGCCAGGUUUAAAGCAAGGUUACUGUUUAAGAAGUUAACUCUUUGCAGGUUAAACUAUAAGGCCAGGUUACACAAUAAGCACAGGUAUCACACUUUAAAGCCUAUCAAAGCCAGAUUACUUUUUAAUUCCAGGUUACAUUAUAUAGGCCAGGGGGUGUUUCACAAAGAUUUAAUUAUGACUUAGAGUCGCACUUAAAUGCCUAGUUUUGCGCGGUAUAAAAGCCAUGACCGCAUUGCACAUUGGUCAGAUCAUGCAAAGAGGACGCGCACUAUUGCGUAUUGAUGAAUUAGGUUGCGCGUUGCAUUUCAGAUACGCGUCGGCAUUUAAGUGCGAUUUAAGUCAUACUUAAAUCUUUGUGAAACACCCCCCAGGUUACGUUGACCAUGUUUCAGUUUUAACCUAGUUACUCUUUAAUGUUGGGUUACAUUACAAGGCAAGACUACAUUAUCAGGCCAUGUUGCACUUUUAGUUAGGUUACACUAUAAGGUCAGGGGUGUUUCACAAAGAUUUUAAUAUGACUCUUACAUGACAUGCAACGUGAAUCUUUUUUAUCAAUACCGUACGCAGUAGUGCGAGUCCUCUCAGCAUGAUCUGACCAAUGCGGUGAUGUCUUUUAUACUGCACGCAAGUAGGCCCAGAUUACACUACUGCUAUAUCAGACUUUGUUCUUGUAUUUAAAGUCUUCAGAUUACUAAAAAAUAGUGGUCAUAAAACUGUCUGGGAGUUAUGCUUAAUUUUAUACCUAAAAAGCCAUUUGUGACUUUGAUGAUUUUUUCACUCUUAUUUUUUGGGGAUUUUUUUUAUACAAAAACAUCACGCUGAUCAUUUCAUGACAUGAAUGCAAGCAAGAAUAAAACCUGCAAAAUAAACAUUUCUAAUUAUAUGCAUUCUAAUUUUAUAUGAAUUAAACAAGGAUCAAUAGACCGGUUUACUAACAUAUUCAAAUUUUAUGCAUACCAGUUUAACAAAGCUUGCCUGAUAUUUGCCGAAAAUAGUAACAACUAAUGUAUGCAAAGUGGAUUCCAAGUAUUGAAAUACCAUUAAUAGGUACAGGUUAAUAGAAUAACUCGUUACUAGGCCCCGAUGGAAGAAACAUCCAUAAAUUUGACUAUAUUAGUAAACCGGUCUAUUCCAGGGCGUCACUGGUACCUAUCUUCUGUUGGUGGCGAGCUGCUCAUUGUUGGAAAGUGAACAUUGCGCGUUGGAUCUCAAAUCAAAAGUGUUUUAUUAGAAUAUCUCUUUUACAGUUUUAUUGAUCAAAUUUGUAUAUAUCCAAUAUAUAGUAUUCCUCUGGUAAUUAUGGAGUCAGAAGACAUGGAACUGUUAUUAUUUUGGCUAUAUAGAUCCAUAAUUUUUUGGAUAUUCAUGUUUGUGCAAUCAUCAAUUUCAGGUUUUUGAAUGUAUCAGGAUUGGGUUGUGGCUUAGUGGUCGAGGAUUUGGCUUUGCGUCCCACCCCCACCCACAAACAACAAUAUAUAGUUGACUUGCCAUAUUAUUGUAUUUUAAUAACUCGGGUAUAUGAUUUUUUUUGUAUUCUAAGAAUUUUAUGUCGUAUAUAUAAUGCUUUUGUCUAGUUUUGUUUUUAGGAUUUUCACAGAGUAUUCAUUUGCUUUAUACUUCGCUUUAUUUUGCUGCUUUGUUCUCCUUAACAAGAUAUAUAUAGCAUCAUUUUGCUAGUACGUUUGUUCCUUUUGAUUGCUCUUUCUUUUAUGUACAUAUAUUUUAUAGAAACAGGCCCACUCCACCUCAAGUAAAAGGUUGUCUUGUACACAUCGGGGUGUGGCCUUCUAAUCUAAAUUGUUUGGUCUUCCUUAUGGUAUGAGAUAUAUGGAGUUUAAUUUAAACUAUUAUUUGAAUAGUUUUGUGGAGUAGAGUAUUUGUUACCCAUAUCAUACAGAUAACAUGACUUUUGUCUUUCUUAAUCUAAGAGUUUUAUGAAGUAUAUUGACGACUAGAUUUGCUUUACAUCUCGGUGUAUUUUGUUGAAUUUUUCUUCAAUAAAGUUACAUCAGCACUUUA